RNAcentral lists this ribosomal RNA (374 nucleotides) under Macrostylis cf. metallicola BOLD:ADL4494. Its description in RNAcentral is "partial 16S ribosomal RNA". Lineage: Eukaryota; Metazoa; Arthropoda; Malacostraca; Isopoda; Macrostylidae. The record is from RNAcentral.
CCGCAGAAUUUUAACUGUGCUAAGGUAGCAUAAUCAUUUGUUUUAUAAUAGAGAACUGGGAUGAAAGAGUUAACAACAUUUUGACUUUUUAGGUUUAUUUCUAGAAAUUGAUAUCUAUAUUAAAAAGUAUAGCUGAGCUAAAAAGACGAUAAGACCCUAUAAAACUUUACUAUGAGGAUUUAUUUAUGUAACAGGUAAUGAAAUUUCUAAAUAGUUAAGCUGGGGCGGCAAUUACAAAACUUUAAUAAAUAAAACAUAUAUUUAUGAAAUAUUAUAUCUUUUAUAGAUUUAGAGUUACUUUAGGGAUAACAGCGUAAUUUUAGAUAAUAGUUUAGUGUUAUUUAAAGACUUACGACCUCGAUGUUGAAUUGAGG